CUCAGAAUUGCUGACAGUGCAGACAGACGAGUCUUUGCUGUGGGGGCUGACAUGCAUUCUAGAAUGUUCACUUAGCAGCAUCCCCAUCUUCUGUCACUAGAUUACAGGAACAAUAUGCCUCUACUAUGACAAUCAAAACUACCACCAGACACUGCCAAAUGUCCCUGAGCAGCACAGCCACCACUGCUUGAGAAUGACUGGCUUACAGGAAUUUAAGAAUGGACACAGGUAAAUUCUGUAAUUUAGGAAAAUGUCAAGAAUUAAUUCCUCAUGGGGCAUGGUGGCACAUGCCUCUGAUCCCAACACUCAGGAGGCUGAAGCAGGAGAAUCACCAUGAGUCUGACACCAGCCUGAACCACAUACAUAAUUAAAAAGUUAAUUCCUCUACUACAUCAAACUGAUUUCUUCGAACAAAAUACUGAGAUUUCCCUCUGAUUCCUACAAUUAUUAAGUACAGAAGAUUACAGCAUAAAUUUAAUAAAAAAUCAGGAUAAAGGAUCUACACUAGUUGUAUUCUUCUAGUCAUAAGAGAAUCUACAGAACCUAGCAGGACAAUUGAAAAUGUAUUGCAAACAAAACACUACUAAGUCAACAACAGCUGCAUAGGUGAUGGGUCUGUG
This 620-nucleotide long non-coding RNA is filed under the name Fukomys damarensis (Damara mole-rat). Its description in RNAcentral is "lncRNA (ENSFDAG00000029198.1)". Lineage: Eukaryota; Metazoa; Chordata; Mammalia; Rodentia; Bathyergidae. The record is from RNAcentral.